RNAcentral lists this long non-coding RNA (6169 nucleotides) under Sus scrofa (pig). RNAcentral describes it as "lncRNA (ENSSSCG00000061655.1)". Lineage: Eukaryota; Metazoa; Chordata; Mammalia; Artiodactyla; Suidae. The record is from RNAcentral.
CCCGCGUUCCGUCGCGUCCUGAGCUACGGCGCAGCCCAGGCCCGAAGCGGUCGGGGGAGGUCGGCCAGGGCCGCUUUGGCGUCCACACUGAGGGCGGCUGGAGCCGAAUUCCACGCGCAGAGCGCCUUCCGGGUUCCCGGGGACCGCGAGGGCCAAGGGGAGUGGGCCAGGGUUUCCCCACGAUCACCGCUCAAGUUCUUCGUUCCCCGGAGCCCGACGGCAGAAAACCCCGCCUGUGCCAGGGCUGGGCGCGCACGCCGCGUAACCCUGUAGCCCAGGACCCUGCGCUUCUGUGGGACUGACCACCGUCCCUAGUGCCUGAGCCGGUCUGUUGGUACGCAAACCCUGGCAGUUUUCCUGCUCCCGGCAGGUAUGCAGACGCCAAAUGCCCUUAACUUCCGCUCCUUCAGGCUGUGGCUCUGAAUUUGGAGGAAACAAAGGCAAAACCAAGACCUCUCUUCCCUGACCCUUGUGGUCAGGUGUGUUGGGACGUAGGCUCCUCUGUGUUCAUGUCACGCUCAGGUCCACUGCACCAAGGGCCACCGUGGCCCCCCGCCUUUACACUCCCUCGUCGUGAGAGGCAGUGGGAAGCAGAACGUCUUACAGAGACCACAGUUCUGGUGAGGACUCCCCACAGGGCUCACCCAGUCUGUGCCGGCAGCACGUUUUAAUCCAGUGUCCACUGCAAACGCCUGGCAAGUUUUCUCCGUGGGACGGUCUCUCCAGGGAAGGUUGUGUUCUCAGUGCCACCUGCCUCUACCCCUAGAUGCCAGCGAUGCCUCCCUGCUAUGAACCAGCACCACCCCCAACCCCACCCCGCACAUUUCCUUGUCUUCAUGGAGAACGGCUCAGUAUUUUGGAGAGGGGAGAAGGACAGAGGUGCAGACCUGGGCAUGAGGCAGAGGGAGGCCACACUUACUUGGGGACACUCUGGCCGGUCCUUCCCACAUCGCUAGGAUUGCAGGGGAUGGCCUGAGUGGCAUUCUCAAAAGUGAACUGUUCCCAAGGCUCAGGACCAGAUUCUGAUCCUGUCGUUGCCCCUACGACAAUGUACACUCUCCUGGGGCAACAGCUUCUUUUCCUUUAAAAAAAUAGCUUCUUAACAGAUGUGAUAAAUUCGUUGGAGUAAUAAAAAAAUUUUUUUUAAAUAGCUUUUUUUCUGUUUCAAAAGUAAUAUGCUUGUAGUAACUUUUAAAAAUAUAAUAGGAGUUCCUGCUGUGGCCCACUGGGUUAAGAAUCCGACUGAAGCAACUGGGAUUGCUGCAGAGGUGUGGGUUCAAGCCCCAGCCCCGCCCAGUGGGUUGGCAUAGGUCCCACCUGUUGUUCAAAUUCACUUCCUGGCUCAGGAACUUCCAUAUGUGCAGGUGUGACCAUAAAAUUUUAAAACAUUAAUUUAAAACAUUUAAUUUUAAAACAUUAAAUUAAAAAAAAUAUAUAUAUAUACACACAAAAAGGAAAAACCACCAUCCUGGGAUGCCAGUAGUUAAUAUUUGGUCUUUGUCAUAUAUACGCACGUGUGUGUGUGUAAUAUCAAUAUAUAAUUUUUUUACAGAAAAUAAUCAAGCCAUCAGAUAUAUUUUGUAACAUUUUCCCCCAUCUAGCAUCAUUUCAUGGCUCGCUCUCUCCCCGCUGUUCUCCCUUAGCCCCAAGACUCCAUGAGUGUCUGUGCCAUGAUGUACCUGCCCACCCAGUGUGGCUGGACAUGGCUUUAUUUGGACAUCCCCCAAUAUUGAUGGAGCAUCUGCGUCGUGUACUGCCCUAGAUCCCGAGGCUCAGAGAGCAUCACAGGCCUGCCUUCAUGGCAUUCACAGGGGCUGGGGGAAGUGUACAUGUGUACAAAUAAGAAUAUUUCAGACAAGAAGAUGAGGGAAAUAUGAUGAUGUGAUGGGUGCAUGGCAAGGAGGGCCUCUGGGAUGUGGAUGAGAAGGAUGGUGGUCUUUGGAGGCUGGAGUCAGGCUUGGUCCUGGGACAGGGAGCAGUGGAUGGAGAGAGUCCAUGAGGGGGGUGGAAAGCCAGCACUGCAGGGUAAGGGCUCUAGGCCUGCUGGUGGGCCUUUAGAGGGGGUGUGACCAGUCUCCAGGUGGUCACAACCUGGGAGACAUGCACACCCUACAUGCAUUUCACCAGAAGGCACACUUAAGGGUGGGCAGUGACAGUAUCUUGGUCCUUAGUGCUGAUCAAACCCUGACUUUCUGCUAGAAUGCUGGAGAAAAUGGGUUUCUGGUUUUCAUCUGCAUCGCUCUGAUUACCAGUGAGGGUUGAUAUAGCCCUUCUUACGUUUACAGUGCCCUCAGUUUAGUAUUUUCCAAUUGAAAGAGAAUGUCCAAUGUCCUGGCUUUGUCAUGAUUCCAAAAUCCCAGGCCAAGGCAAGAAAUUAAGAAAUAAUUCACCUCAUCCAUAUGAUCGAUCACCUGCAAGGACAAAGGGAGUUUCAGACACCUCCCUCCUAGCCCUCCCUCUCCUCCUCUGCCUCAGAGGGAGCCUCUUAGAGCAAUGGGCACCAGCUCUUUCCUGAUGUAGGUGUCCUCAAGAACAGCUCUUUGGAGUUCCUGUUGUGGCGCAGCAGAAACGAAUCCAACUAGGAACCAUGAUGUUGAAGGUCUGAUCCCUGGCCUCGCUCAGUGAGUUAAGGAUCCGGCGUUUCUGUAAUCUGUGGUAUAGGUUGCAGACGCGGCUCGAAUCUGGUGUUGCUGUGGCUGUGACUGUGGCUGUGGCGCAGGCCAGCAGCAACAGCUCCGAUUCAACGCCUAGCCUGGGAACUUCCAUACGCCACAGGUGUGGCCCUAAAAGGACAAAAAGGCAAUAACAAAAAAAGAAUAACUGUCUCUUCUGGGAACCUUAUUCUACCCUCAGAUUUCCUGAGAGUAACUAAUUCAUUGCUCCCCUUUUACUCCUUAAUCUCAACUUGGUAGAGUGAACCCUGGGGAGGCCACUUUGCUGGGAGCUGUACCUUUGUCCUGCCCAUGCGGGCCUAGGCUGUUGAAUGCUUGUCCCCUACUCCUUUCCCUGUUAGCUCCCCAGCACAGCCUGGGUCACAGGUGCUCUGAGGACCUGCAGACAGGGCCAGAGCAGCUCUGCAUUAGACGUUUCACCCUGUGUUGUAGGCUGGACUGUGUCCCCCAAAUUCAUAUGUUGGAGCCCUGACUCCAGUCCCUCAGAAUGGGACCUUAUUUGGAAAUAUGGUUACUACAGAUGUAAAUAGGUUAGGACGAGGUCAUGCUGGAGCAGGAUGGAUCCUAACCCAACAAAUCUGGUGUCCCUAAAAAAGGGGGAACAUUUGGACACAGAGACAGACACUCACAAAGGGACAAAAUAGCCAUGUAUGGACUGGUGCUACCACAAGCCAAGGAACUACCAGAAGCUGUAGAGCUGCCUGGACUAGACCCUUCCAAGGGCGUUCAGAGGUAGCAUAUCCCUGCUGGCACCUUGAUCUUGACUUCUGGCCUCUAGAACCCUGAGAUAACACAGUCAACCAGUGGUACCUUGGCAUGGCAGCCCCAGGAAGCUAAUACACCCUGCCUGCCUCUGUCCUGGUAAGUGAAGACUGCGUUCUGCCCAGGGUCUCUGAAACCCUAGGGGAUGAGGGGGGCACUGCUAUCCCAGACCCUUAGCUGGGUGUGACUUAGCUUUGGCUGCAUGUGUUUCUUUUUUCUUGACACCCAUGAGAGUGACCAGAAGUGGCCCAGGCAGACCUGAAUGCCAACAGUUCCACCUGGAAUGAACCUGCCUCGUAAUAAAGAACUAUGGCCCUGCCUCUAUGACAGGUGGAGGCUGAUUUCAGGCUGAGGGUCUCGUCCUCCCCUGGUAUUAACCCAGUGACCAUACUUCUACACAAGUGCUCCCAAACCCCUGCAUCUGGAGAGAAAUAUCUUGGGUCUUCCCUGCUUAGAGUGAUCCUGGAUUUCCAUCAGUCCUUCUGUCCACCAAGGGUCUAUUGGGGUGUACUUGCUGCUGAGGAGACAGCCAUAAGCAGAACAGAGACCUCUCUGUACUGUGUCACUCGGCCUCAGUAGACAGUCAAGUGAAAAAUGCACAUGAGAAAAAGAAUAAAUCCGUGUGAAAAUGCAACAGUGAUGGUAAUACACUUUAUGAAGGGAAAUGCGGGGGAAAGGAGGAACUUACUUUGGUGGAGGAAUGUGUGGGUGUCCUCUGAGGAAUAACAUGAGGCUAUGGUGGGAAUGACCUUAGCAGAGCUUGAACUACUUCAGGGUGGAUGCCCUGGUUGGCCUUAGCCUGCUGUGCCUGGCAGGCCCCGGCACCCAUGACAAACCUAGCCAGAUCUCGUCACACCACAUCCACUUUUGGGCUUUGUGCAUGUCCAUCCCUCCAUACCUGACCAACCCCAGUGUGGGCCAUAGGAGUGUCACCCUCAUCCCACUUGGACCAGAAUAGCCAUGUUUGUCCCUGUUCUAGUGCUUUAUUAACACACCCUUUUGGAUUAUAAAUUAUAUGGACACCCAGCUGAGAGGCUUUUUAUCAACAAACUGCUUCCAAACAUCACAGGGCCAUCACAGAGAUGGACAAGAAGAGCUCACUUUCAUACCUACCAGAAAAACCCGGAGAGUUCUAAAGUUCUCAUGGCUCACAGGUCUGGAUCCGAUCAGCUUGGUCCAGGUACCCCAUGAAGGGCCUACUCUUAGAACUCUGCCUUACCAGAUCUGUUACAAAAACAUAAAUCCAACCUUGAAUUAGUAUCUCCUUUCUGACAUCUCCCCCCACCCCCAAGAUAGCUAUUAGUUGUUUGUCUCCUGCUCUGGCAUAUGAGCUCCUUGAAGGUAGAAACGGUGUCUGCCCUGUUCACUGCCGUAAUAUCUGCACUAGUGUGCCAACACACUGGAUAACCUAGAUUAAGGGAACACAUUUUUAGAAACACACAACCUACUAAAACUGAAUCAUCAAGAAACAGAACGUCUCAACAGCUGUAUCAUCACUAUCAAGGAGAUUGAAUCAAUAACCAAAAUGCUUCCAACAAAGAAAAGCCCAAGACCAGACCAGACAGCUUCACUGAAUUCCACCACACUUUUUUUUUUUUUUUGUCUUUUUAGGGUCAUACCCACGGCAUAUGGAAAUUACAAGGCUAGGGGUCGAAUCAGAGCCAUAGCUGCUGGCCUAUACCACAGCUCACAGCAACACCAGAUCCUUAACCCACUGAGUGAGGCCAGGGAUCGAACCUGUGUCCUCAUGGAUACUAGUCAGAUUCGUUUCCACUGAGCCACGACGGGAACCCCAUCAUACUUUUAAAGAAAAAUUACCACCAAUCUUUCUUAAACUCCUCCCAGAAACUGACAAGGAGAGAACACUUCUAAUCCUUUCUAUGAAGCCAGCAUUAUCUUGAUACAAAAGCCAGACAGAGACUUUGCAAAGAAGAAAACUACAAGGAAUUCCUUUGUGGUGCAGCAGGUUAAAGAACUGGUGUUAUCACUGCAGCAGCUCAAGUCCCUGCUGCUGUACAGGCUUGAUCCUUGGCCCAGAAACUUCCACAUACCUCGGAAGAAAAAGAAAUAAAAAGCAUUCAAAUUAGGAAGAAGUAAUAUUAUCUCUGUUCAUAGAUAAAAUGAUCGUAUGUCAGAUAAAAUCAUCAAGAUUUAGGAACUCUAGGAGUUCCCGUCGUGACGCAGUGGUUAACGAAUCCGACUAGGAACCAUGAGGUUGCGGGUUCGAUCCCUGCCCUUGCUCAGCGGGUUAACGAUCCGGUGUUGCCGUGAACUGUGGUGUAGGUUGCAGAUGCGGCUCGGAUCCUGCGUUGCUGUGGCUCUGGCGUAGGCCGGUGGCUCCAGUUCCGAUUCGACCCCUAGCCUGGGAACCUCCAUAUGCCGUGGGAGCGGCCCAAGAAAUAGCAAAAAAAAAGACGAAAAAAAAAAAAAAAAAGAUUUAGGAACUCUAAAGAUUCCCCCAAAUAACUAUUGGAACUAAAAAACAAUUUCAGCAAACUUGUGGGAUACUAAAUCAACACAAUAAUCAGUUUUGUUUUGAGUUGCCGUUGUGUCUCAGCAGAAACGAAUCUGACUAGUAUCCAUGAGGAUGUAGGUUCGGUUCCUGGCCUCACUCAGUGGGUUAAGGAUCUAGCGUUUCCAUGAGCUGUGGUGCAGUUUGAAGACGUCUCAGAUCUGGCGUUGCUGUGGCUGUGGCAUAGGCCAGCAGAACCUCCAUAUGCCAUGGGUAUGGUCCU